AUGGAUUCCACAGAAAUAGCUACUAAGCCACAUGCUGUUCGCAUUCCAUUCCCUGCUCAAAGCCAUAUAAAGGCAAUGCUUAAAUUUGCAAAGCUCGACUAUAGAGGUUUUCAUAUGACCUUUGUUAACACACAGUUCAAUCACAAGCGCUUUCUUAAAACUCUAGGAUCUAAUUCCCUCGAUGGCUUGCCUGAUUUUCAAUUUGAAGCCAUCCCGUAUAGCCUUCCAGAUUCAAACGAAGACACCACACAAGAUGUCAGUAAAAAAAUAAAGUUAGACCAUUUUCAACAAAGAAAUUAUGUAGAAGUUUCUUUAAAACCUUGUAUCAUUAGGUUGGAGAUAUUGACCUGA
Molecule: long non-coding RNA, 351 nt
Filed under: Prunus dulcis (almond)
Lineage: Eukaryota; Viridiplantae; Streptophyta; Magnoliopsida; Rosales; Rosaceae
Description: sRNA ncRNA
Source: RNAcentral